Cinara cedri is the source of this 568-nucleotide non-coding RNA. Lineage: Eukaryota; Metazoa; Arthropoda; Insecta; Hemiptera; Aphididae. The record is from the annotation of a GenBank genome assembly.
AUUUUAAUGUUAGUGCUUUAUAGACAUGGUAAUAUUUUAAAAAUAAUCUAUAUUUUAAUAUUUAUUUUUAACAAUUUUUCGGUGGGUGAAAUAGUUGAAUUUGUCCACGCUGUACUUUAAAAAAUAAAGACUUGGACUUUUUACCUAAUUCUUCGUCUUCGACUUUUUUCCCAACUAUUUGUGGUUUGCCUCCCUUGUCCUAAACUUCCAUUUGAUCUAAUCCUCCAUAACGUCCUCGAAUACACCCGCUGUCAUAUCAAAACUGGGUAACGGGCAUGUUAAUUAUAUUUUUAACUCAGUUAAGUUAAAUAUUAUUUAGCAAUAAUUAAUUUAUAAAAUUAAGUAGAUAAAUAAAGUAGAAUAAGCUACCUAUUAGUCAUAAACUUUUAUUCAAAGUAUCUAUUAUAACUACAGAUAGGUAAUACCUACCUAAGUAAUAACCAAGUAAGUAUUAUGAAUAUAAUUUGAGAUUGUGGCUAUUGUCCCCUCUCCUUAUUUCCUCGUAUCCGUCUAUUUUCAGAAGAAUUCUUACAGCGUUUAAUUCCCCUCUCCUCACGACACGUUUGUC